RNAcentral lists this ribosomal RNA (301 nucleotides) under uncultured bacterium. RNAcentral's name for it is "partial 16S ribosomal RNA". It matches the Rfam family "Bacterial small subunit ribosomal RNA", at positions 509 to 807 of the family's 1533-position model. The record is from RNAcentral.
CAGCAGCCGCGGGAAUACGAAGGGUGCAAGCGUUACUCGGAAUUACUGGGCGUAAAGCGUGCGUAGGUGGUGGUUUAAGUCCGUUGUGAAAGCCCUGGGCUCAACCUGGGAAUUGCAGUGGAUACUGGGUCACUAGAGUGUGGUAGAGGAUAGUGGAAUCUCCGGUGUAGCAGUGAAAUGCGUAGAGAUCGGAAGGAACAUCUGUGGCGAAGGCGACUAUCUGGGCCAACACUGACACUGAGACACGAAAGCGUGGGGAGCAAACAGGAUUAGAUACCCGCGUAGUCCCUGUCUCUUAUAC